RNAcentral lists this ribosomal RNA (896 nucleotides) under uncultured Sordariomycetidae. RNAcentral's name for it is "eukaryotic LSU rRNA". The stretch from base 301 to 896 matches the Rfam family "Eukaryotic large subunit ribosomal RNA", at positions 1 to 608 of the family's 3401-position model. The record is from RNAcentral. Lineage: Eukaryota; Fungi; Ascomycota; Sordariomycetes.
UUCUGGCAUCGAUGAAGAACGCAGCGAAAUGCGAUAAGUAAUGUGAAUUGCAGAAUUCCAGUGAAUCAUCGAAUCUUUGAACGCACAUUGCGCCCAUUAGCAUUCUGAUGGGCAUGCCUGUUCGAGCGUCAUUUCAACCCUCAGGCCCUUAGGUGGCCUGGCGUUGGGGAUCUGCAGUUGAUCGCAGGCCCUAAAAGAUAGUGGCGGUGCUCGCUAGAAAUCCGGGCGCAGUGGAAUCUUUUUCUCGCCUAGGACGUCUUGAGGGCUGCCGGCCGUAAAACAGCGUAAUUGCUAGAAGGUUGACCUCGGAUCAGGUAGGAAUACCCGCUGAACUUAAGCAUAUCAAUAAGCGGAGGAAGAGAAACCAACAGGGAUUGCCUCAGUAACGGCGAGUGAAGCGGCAACAGCUCAAAUUUGAAAUCUGGCCUCGGGCCCGAGUUGUAAUUUGUAGAGGAUGCUUUGGGCGCCGGUGCCUUCCGAGUUCCCUGGAAUGGGACGCCAUAGAGGGUGAGAGCCCCGUACGGUGGGAUGCCUAGCCUAUAUAAAGCUCCUUCGACGAGUCGAGUAGUUUGGGAAUGCUGCUCAAAAUGGGAGGUAAAUUUCUUCUAAAGCUAAAUACCGGCCAGAGACCGAUAGCGCACAAGUAGAGUGAUCGAAAGAUGAAAAGCACUUUGAAAAGAGGGUCAAAAGUACGUGAAAUCGUUGAAAGGGAAGCGCUUACGACCAGACUUGCGCCUUGUGAAUCAGCCGGCGUUUUCGCCGGUGCACUUCGCUAGGUUCAGGCCAGCAUCGGUUUUCUCAGGGCGUUAAAAGCAGCGGGAACGUAGCUCCUCCGGGGGUGUUAUAGCCCGCUGUAGAAUAUUCUUGGGGAGACCGAGGACCGCGCUCGGCAAGGA